This 424-nucleotide ribosomal RNA is filed under the name uncultured bacterium. RNAcentral's name for it is "partial 16S ribosomal RNA". It matches the Rfam family "Bacterial small subunit ribosomal RNA", at positions 354 to 796 of the family's 1533-position model. The record is from RNAcentral.
GUGGGGAAUAUUGGACAAUGGGCGCAAGCCUGAUCCAGCCAUGCCGCGUGAGUGAUGAAGGCCUUAGGGUUGUAAAGCUCUUUCAGUGGGGACGAUAAUGACGGUACCCACAGAAGAAGCCCCGGCUAACUUCGUGCCAGCAGCCGCGGUAAUACGAAGGGGGCUAGCGUUGUUCGGAAUUACUGGGCGUAAAGCGCACGUAGGCGGACAUUUAAGUCAGGGGUGAAAUCCCGGAGCUCAACUCCGGAACUGCCUUUGAUACUGGGUGUCUGGAGUAUGGAAGAGGUGAGUGGAAUUCCGAGUGUAGAGGUGAAAUUCGUAGAUAUUCGGAGGAACACCAGUGGCGAAGGCGGCUCACUGGUCCAUUACUGACGCUGAGGUGCGAAAGCGUGGGGAGCAAACAGGAUUAGAAACCUUGUAGUCC